This is a long non-coding RNA of Lolium perenne, 1020 nucleotides long. RefSeq lists it as uncharacterized. The record is from RefSeq and is a predicted model, not a curated record. Lineage: Eukaryota; Viridiplantae; Streptophyta; Magnoliopsida; Poales; Poaceae.
AUGCAUUCAGUCAGCUGUCGGUUUCCUGCUGCUCCCCGAGAGAAUUUAGCCAUUCAGACGUACCCUCGAGCCAGCUAGCCGGGUCCUUGGUAACUUCAGCUUCCCCUUCGAUUGACCUCUCCGACCCUGCUCUACAUAAUCUCGACGACAACUCGCACAGUCGAAACGAGAGUCCCUGCGGCAAGUUGAUCUCAGAUCGAUCGGAGCAUGCAGCCUUUAAUUAGUCUUGAAAGCCUCACUUAACAGUUGGGAGUGAGGGCUAUACAUGGCCGGCGUCGUCACGGCCAUGCAAGGGCAGGUGCCCAGCUAUAUAUCCAUCUGCGGCUCUGCCGGUGGCUGCCGCAGGCCGAUCGGUAGACCCAGAUGAGAGGAGGAUGGAUGGCGAGGCGCGCCAGGUGGAGAAGCAGGGCACGUGCAUUCUUUUCCAGAUGGCCGGCCGGCCGACAGCGCCCGCGCGCCGCCGAGGCCAGGCCUGAGCACCGAUCGAUCGAUCGAGCUCGCAUGCAUGUGCCCUUCUUCUCCACCGUGCGCGCCUCGCCUGCGCGCGCACACCGGCCCGUGCAUGGAACUGGAAGCGCCUCGAUCAGUGCAUGAUUUGUUCUUCUGAAAGCAGACAGCCGCCAGUUCGAUUCUUUCACUUCGAUCAAUCUACAGCUGGGAGAGAAGCACAUAUAUUUAACACUUGCCAAGGAUCGAUGAUGAACGAACCGCGCAUGCAUCCUCCUCCGCGCUUUGCUACAAGAGCGCAACAGGAUGAGAAUAUCUUGAUCAUCGGAGGGCUAUCAAUGUCAACAGAGAAAUGACUAUUUGUAAAUCGAUUGAGCUAUAGUCACUCUCAUUCGAUCCUCUGUUUGCUUUUCAAGGUUCUAUUUACUCAUCCUCCCUAUUCUCUACGGUAGUAGAAAAUGGAGCAAGCUAGCUAGUAAAUAAUUAACGGCUAGUUAUAACAACUAAACACAACUGUUUGAAGUUGUGCAUGCAAUGCUUCCAAAAUUACUUUCUAUUUCUUGUCAAACAUAA